UACGUAGGUGGCAAGCGUUGUCCGGAAUUAUUGGGCGUAAAGGGUACGCAGGCGGUUUAAUAAGUCGAAUGUUAAAGAUCGGGGCUCAACCCCGUAAAGCAUUUGAAACUGAUAAACUUGAGUAGUGGAGAGGAAAGUUGAAUUCCUAGUGUAGUGGUGAAAUACGUAGAUAUUAGGAGGAAUACCAGUAGCGAAGGCGACUUUCUGGACACAGACUGACGCUGAGGUACGUAAGCGUGGGGAGCAAACAGG
Molecule: ribosomal RNA, 252 nt
Filed under: uncultured bacterium
Lineage: Bacteria
Description: partial 16S ribosomal RNA
Rfam family: Bacterial small subunit ribosomal RNA
Source: RNAcentral